RNAcentral lists this transfer RNA (71 nucleotides) under Planctomycetaceae bacterium. Its description in RNAcentral is "tRNA-Gln". It matches the Rfam family "tRNA". From Rfam's summary of the family: Transfer RNA (tRNA) molecules are approximately 80 nucleotides in length. Their secondary structure includes four short double-helical elements and three loops (D, anti-codon, and T loops). RNAcentral also lists the same sequence under 1 other name. Lineage: Bacteria; Pseudomonadati; Planctomycetota; Planctomycetia; Planctomycetales; Planctomycetaceae. The record is from RNAcentral.
UGGGGAUUAGUGUAAUGGUAGCACAAAUGACUCUGGAUCAUUUAGUCAAGGUUCGAAUCCUUGAUCCCCAG